RNAcentral lists this ribosomal RNA (645 nucleotides) under uncultured bacterium. RNAcentral's name for it is "bacterial SSU rRNA". It matches the Rfam family "Bacterial small subunit ribosomal RNA", at positions 185 to 828 of the family's 1533-position model. The record is from RNAcentral.
GGGGCAUCCCGGAGGCAGGAAAGGCUUCGGCCGGACAGGGAUGGGCAUGCGGCGCAUUAGGCAGUAGCGGGGGUAACGGCCCACCUAACCGACGAUGCGUAGGGGUUCUGAGAGGAAGGUCCCCCACACUGGUACUGAGACACGGACCAGACUCCUACGGGAGGCAGCAGUGAGGAAUAUUGGUCAAUGGUCGGGAGACUGAACCAGCCAAGCCGCGUGAGGGAGGAAGGUACAGAGUAUCGUAAACCUCUUUUGUCAGGGAACAAAGACUGGGACGCGUCCCCGGAUGAGUGUACCUGAAGAAAAAGCAUCGGCUAACUCCGUGCCAGCAGCCGCGGUAAUACGGAGGAUGCGAGCGUUAUCCGGAUUUAUUGGGUUUAAAGGGUGCGCAGGCGGUCUGUUAAGUCAGCGGUCAAAGCCCGGGGCUCAACCCCGGCCCGCCGUUGAAACUGGCAGUCUCGAGUUGGAGAGAAGUAUGCGGAAUGCGCGGUGUAGCGGUGAAAUGCAUAGAUAUCGCGCAGAACUCCGAUUGCGAAGGCAGCAUGCCGGCUCCACACUGACGCUGAGGCACGAAAGCGUGGGUAUCGAACAGGAUUAGAUACCCUGGUAGUCCACGCAGUAAACGAUGAAUGCUGGCUGUCCGGG